GAUUAACGUUGGUAGUAUGCCUAACACAUGCAAGUCGAGCGGAAAGUAAUAGCAAUAUUGCUUUUAGCGGCGAACGGGUGAGUAAUACUUAUUUUACUUGCCAAUUAGUGGGGGAUAGCCAUUGGAAACUUUGGGUAAUACCGCAUUUGUUACUUAGUAAUGAAAGGGAACCGCAAGGUUCUCGCUAGUUGAUAGGGAUAAGUCGUAUUACUUAGUUGGUGGGGUAAUGGCCUACCAAGACAAUGAUGCGUAGCCAGCCUGAGAGGGUGAAUGGCCACAAGGGAACUGAGACACGGUCCCUACUCCUACGGGAGGCAGCAGUGGGGAAUUUUUGGCAAUGGGGGAAACCCUGACCGAGCAAUACUACGUGAAGGAGGAAGGUCUACGGAUUGUAAACUUCUUUACUUGGAUGUACUCCUUAAAGCUUGCAUCCGAGCAAAAAGUCACGACUAACUAUGUGCCAGCAGUCGCGGUAAGACAUAGGUGGCGAACGUUAUCCGGAAUUAUUGGGCGUAAAGGAUGCGUAGAUGGCAUGACAAGUUAUCAGUGGGAAAUCGGGGGCCCAACCCCGUGGAAGCUGAUAAUACUAUUAUGCUUGAGUACGGGAGGGGUUAACGGAACUCCAUGUGGAGCGGUAAAAUGUGACGAUAUAUGGAAGAACACCAAUAAGGCCAAGGCAGUUAACUAUUCUGCUACUGACAGUGAGGCAUGAAAGCGUGGGGAGCAAAACGGAUUAGAUACCCGUGUAGUCCACGCCCUAAACGAUGAGUGCUAGAUAUUGGGAACUUGAUUUCUCAGUGUCGCUAGUUAACACGGUAAGCACUCCGCGUGGGUAGUACGAUCGCAAGGUUGAAACUCAAAGGAAUUGACGGGGACUCGCACAAGCAGUGGAUCAUGUGGUUUAAUCCGAUACAACGCGUAGAACCUUACCAAGGCUUGACAUGUUGGGCAAAGCUAGGGAAACCUAGUGGAGGUUAUCCUAACACAGGUGCUGCAUGGCCGUCGUCAGUUCGUGCCGUGAGGUGUAUGGUUAAUUCCUAUAACGAACGCAACCCUUGUGCUUAGUUGCCAGCAUUAAGUUGGGGACUCUAAGCAGACUGCCAGGGUAACCUGGAGGAAGGAAAGGAUGACGUCUGGUCGUCAUGGCCCUUAUGCCUUGGGCGACACACGUGAUACAAUGGUUAGUACAAAGGGUUGCCAACUCGCGAGGGGGAGCUAAUCUCAAAAAACUAACCUCAGUUCGGAUUGGAGGUUGCAACUCACCUCCAUGAAGGUGGAAUUGCUAGUAAUCGCAAAUCAGCCAUGUUGCGGUGAAUACGUUCUCGAG
Molecule: ribosomal RNA, 1327 nt
Filed under: uncultured bacterium
Lineage: Bacteria
Description: partial 16S ribosomal RNA
Rfam family: Bacterial small subunit ribosomal RNA
Source: RNAcentral